This 633-nucleotide ribosomal RNA is filed under the name uncultured fungus. Its description in RNAcentral is "eukaryotic LSU rRNA". It matches the Rfam family "Eukaryotic large subunit ribosomal RNA", at positions 24 to 664 of the family's 3401-position model. The record is from RNAcentral. Lineage: Eukaryota; Fungi.
CUGCCCGCUGUACUUAAGCAUAUCAAUAAGCAGGAGAGAAAAGAAACUAACAAGGAUUCCCCUAGCAACUGCGAGUGAAGCGGGAAAAGCUCAAAUUUUAAAUCUGGUGGCCCCGCCGCCCCGAGUUGUAUUAUGGAGAAGCGUCUUCCGCGCCGGACCGUGUACAAGUGCCUUGGAACAGGACGUCACAGAGGGUGAGAAUCCCGUCUUUGACACGGACCCCCGGCGCUCUGCGAUGCGCUCUCGAAGAGUCGAGUUGUUUGGGAAUGCAGCUCAAAACGGGUGGUAAAUUCCAUCUAAAGCUAAAUAUUGGCGAGAGACCGAUAUCGAACAAGUACAAUGAGGGAAAGAUGAAAAGCACUUUGGUAAGAGAGUAAAACAGUUCGCGAAAUUUUUGAAAGGGAGACGCUUGAAGUCAGUGGCGUUGGUCUGAAAGUCAGGCCUCCUUCUCUUGGCGCGCCGUUGUAAACCUUGGGCCAGGAUCGGUUUCGUGGGUCGGACUCUGGCGGGAGGAAGGUGGCGGCCCUGGACGCGUUAUAGCCUCUCUUCACGAACGUCCCGUGGGACCGAGGAAUCCGGCGCGAGCCUGCGAUGCUGGCGUAAUGGCUUCAAACGACCCGUCUUGAAACACGG